UGACGGAGCAACGCCGCGUGAGUGAUGAAGGUUUUCGGAUCGUAAAGCUCUGUUGUUAGGGAAGAACAAGUGCCGUUCAAAUAGGGCGGCACCUUGACGGUACCUAACCAGAAAGCCACGGCUAACUACGUGCCAGCAGCCGCGGUAAUACGUAGGUGGCAAGCGUUGUCCGGAAUUAUUGGGCGUAAAGGGCUCGCAGGCGGUUUCUUAAGUCUGAUGUGAAAGCCCCCGGCUCAACCGGGGAGGGUCAUUGGAAACUGGGGAACUUGAGUGCAGAAGAGGAGAGUGGAAUUCCACGUGUAGCGGUGAAAUGCGUAGAGAUGUGGAGGAACACCAGUGGCGAAGGCGACUCUCUGGUCUGUAACUGACGCUGAGGAGCGAAAGCGUGGGGAGCGAACAGGAUUAGAUACCCUGGUAGUCCACGCCGUAAACGAUGAGUGCUAAGUGUUAGGGGGUUUCCGCCCCUUAGUGCUGCAGCUAACGCAUUAAGCACUCCGCCUGGGGAGUACGGUCGCAAGACUGAAACUCAAAGGAAUUGACGG
This 542-nucleotide ribosomal RNA is filed under the name uncultured Bacillus sp. Its description in RNAcentral is "bacterial SSU rRNA". It matches the Rfam family "Bacterial small subunit ribosomal RNA", at positions 384 to 916 of the family's 1533-position model. The record is from RNAcentral. Lineage: Bacteria; Bacillati; Bacillota; Bacilli; Caryophanales; Bacillaceae.